CCAGAUCUCUAUGAUUCGCAGAAGUUAUGCGGAAUCCUUGGCAUUGGAAGGAAAGCCUAUUAACAUUGUGAUCACUAAAGUUGGAUGGAGUGGAAGAAGAGUUAACAACAAAAUUGUAUAAAGUUCCAGUGUACAAUUCUGAUGGGAAAAGAGUCCAAAUAGUUCAAGCAGUUGGCAUCGCACAGAUUUCAGAAGACAGUCCCAAUGGUAAUAUAAGCGAAGUCUCAAAAAUCUUCGACAUUCCUACUAGUAUGCUGAAGCGCAAAGUUGGCCCGGUCGACCUUCUGAUUGGAAUUAAUUACUCACAGUUCCAUGCUGGUGAGACUAAAAUUAAGAAGAAUCUUGCCGUCAGAAAAAGUCCACUUGGUUGGGUGGUCUUUGGGACUGACUCAAAGGAAAUGACUUUCCAAAACAAUAACGUUUUGCAUGUGCGUCUUGCCCCUCCAGUUGAUUUGACAGAUUUUUGGAAAACCGAAUCAAUGGGUGUUUCUCCCUCGUUAUGCAAUUGUCAAGAAGUUGAGAUGUCUUUGAAAGAACAGCAAGAGUUAAAGUUGAUAGAAGAAUCCUGUGAGUUGGUUGGCAAGAAAUGGAUAAUGAACUAUCCUUGGAAGAAAGACCCUAGCCAAUUGCCAAACAACUAUUCGCAAGUCCUGAAGAAGCUGGAAAGUACAGAGCGUCGCUUGAGUAAACAGCCCAAACAUGCCAAAGAUUAUGAUACACAGAUAAAAGAAAUGGAAGAUAGAAAGUUCUCGAGAAAGUUAACACAAGAGGAAGUCGCAGAAUGGAAAAAGCCAGCCCAUUAUAUCGCUCACCACGCCGUAGUUCGUGAAGAAAAGAAGUCUACGCCAGUGCGUAUCGUUUUCAACAGUUCAGCGUCGUUCAAAGGACACUGUCUAAACGAUUAUUGGUACAAAGGUCCCGACCUACUGAAUAACCUUUUCGGGGUAAUACUGCGUUUCCGAGAGAAUGCUGUUGCUGUUUGUGGUGAUAUUGCAAAGAUGUAUCAUAUGGUUGGCAUCCCGCCAAUUGAUGAACAUGUCCACCGCUUUCUUUGGAGGAGUUUCGAGACAGAGCGCGAGCCUGAUACCUACGUUAAGACAGUUCUUACGUUUGGGGACCGUCCAUCACCCACCAUGGCCAUCGUUGCAAUGCGUAAAACUGCUGAGCUGAAAGAGGAUGUCAAGCCGGAAGCUGCCAAUUCAAUCAAGAAAAAUACCUACAUGGAUGACAUAUGUGACUCGCAGAACACCGUACAAGCAGCCAAAGAACUGACAAGAGAUAUUGAUGAAGUACUUGAUGCUGGCGGAUUCCACGUCAAGGGAUGGGUAUCAAACGCAGUGUUGAAUGAUGAAGAGCAACAAGGAGAAGUCGUACUUGGUCAAGAUCCGCUGAACGAUACACAGAAAGUUCUUGGAACAGUUUGGAACCCUCAACAAGAUAAGUUUUCAUUCAAAGUUAAAUUGGGACACACUGAUGUUUCAGAAUCGGAUGAAUCCCUACGCUCUACAGUUCCAGGAAAGUUAACAAAGCGUAUCAUUUUGAGCAAGAUAUCUGGAAUCUUUGACCCGAUUGGAAGAGUACCAACAGAUCCGGAUGAUGGCGGAUACCUAUGUCCAAACGAUAUACUAUUGGGCAGAGCUACGAACGCUGUGCCUCAAGGUCCGUUCCGAAAAACACAAAAUCCUCGCCACCGAUUCGAGUUUUGUCAGAGAAUUAUUGAUGCUUUUUGGAAGAAGUGGUCAAGAGACGUCCUACCGCUAUUAACCCCACGAAAAAAAUGGAAUACGCAAAGUCGUAAUGUAACGGUGAACGAUUAUGUUGUAGUGUCCGAGCCAAACGCAGUAAGGGGAAAGUGGAACACCGGAAAGAUCGUGGAAGUCUAUCAGGGAGAGGACGGGUUGGUCAGGAAUGUGAAGGUGAAAACUGCUACGGGAACCUACAGCCGACCUAUCAACAAGAUAUGCGUAAUUUAUCCAGCAGAAGGCUACGAAGAGGAGUGAAUGGGAGUUCUCCCAUUGUCGGGGGGAGUGUUUCAUUGACGAUGAAAGGACUUCAUGUAAGACUAUUUUAAUGUUUUAGUUAGUCGGAGUUUACUCGGACCUUAGUUGGAAGGGUUCGUAGGAAAAAUGUGAUGAGCUUGUAGAAAUGUUUUGAACACGUUUUCGUAUGGUUUUAUGAAGUUUAUAAAGUUUUAAGUAAGGUUUAUUAUUGUUAAAUGUUAAGAUAAAAGGAAAAGGAUGCUUGCUUAGGACAGAUGUAAGUAGAAAGCCUUAGUUAAUUCAUUUUUGUGAUUUAGUACUAAUUUAAUAUAUGUAAACAUACCGAUUUAAUUUCAUUAUUAUUUAGUUUCAGAUUGUUGUUAUUUGUGAAUAAAUCUUAAUACUGAAAUCCCAAGCGUGUAUUGUAUGUUAGCUCCAAGUUAUCGUCGGU
Paramuricea clavata is the source of this 2430-nucleotide non-coding RNA. NCBI's taxonomy places the organism in Eukaryota, Metazoa, Cnidaria, Anthozoa, Malacalcyonacea, Plexauridae. The record is from the annotation of a GenBank genome assembly.